AUACGUAGGUGACAAGCGUUAUCCGGAUUUACUGGGCGUAAAGGGCGUGUAGGCGGUCUUGCAAGUCAGAAGUGAAAUUCCUGAGCUCAACUCGGGCGCUGCUUCUGAAACUGCAGGACUUGAGUGCUGGAGGGGAUAGCGGAAUUCCUAGUGGAGCGGUAAAAUGCGCAGAUAUUAGGAAGAACACCGGUGGCGAAGGCGUCUAUCUGGACAGUAACUGACGCUGAGGCGCGAAAGCGUGGGGAGCAAACAGGAUUAGAUACCCUGGUAGUCCACACUGUAAACGAUGAAUGCUAGGUGUAAGAGGUAUCGACCCCUUUUGUGCCGGAGUCAACACAAUAAGCAUUCCGCCUGGGGAGUACGGCCGCAAGGUUGAAACUCAAAUGAAUUGGCGGGG
RNAcentral lists this ribosomal RNA (397 nucleotides) under uncultured bacterium. Its description in RNAcentral is "partial 16S ribosomal RNA". It matches the Rfam family "Bacterial small subunit ribosomal RNA", at positions 523 to 918 of the family's 1533-position model. The record is from RNAcentral.